CGGACGAGUGAGUAACACGUGGAUAACCUACCUAUAAGACUGGGAUAACUUCGGGAAACCGGAGCUAAUACCGGAUAAUAUAUUGAACCGCAUGGUUCAAUAGUGAAAGACGGUUUUGCUGUCACUUAUAGAUGGAUCCGCGCCGCAUUAGCUAGUUGGUAAGGUAACGGCUUACCAAGGCAACGAUGCGUAGCCGACCUGAGAGGGUGAUCGGCCACACUGGAACUGAGACACGGUCCAG
This 241-nucleotide ribosomal RNA is filed under the name uncultured Staphylococcus sp. Its description in RNAcentral is "partial 16S ribosomal RNA". It matches the Rfam family "Bacterial small subunit ribosomal RNA", at positions 99 to 334 of the family's 1533-position model. Lineage: Bacteria; Bacillati; Bacillota; Bacilli; Caryophanales; Staphylococcaceae. The record is from RNAcentral.